CCUUAUAUAUAUAGUGGUUAUAGUGGUAACAGAAUGUAAUAACAAACCUGUUGCUUGUCAUAGAGCAUAAAGAAGCAAAUAUAACAAGAGUGCAGGGCUUGGAGUAUAGCGUAGGGUUGCCUCGACCGGACUUCCAAAUUCCAAUGUCGAACAACAACAACACCACCCAACCACCUCCGCCACCAUACCUUCCAUACCGCCAAAAAAAGGUCCUGACCGGACACACACGCGCCGUCUCAUGCGUGAAGUUCUCCAACAACGGUCAACUCUUCGCCUCUUCCUCUUUAGACAGAACCCUAAUCGUCUGGUCAACACAAACCCUAACUCUCCUCUCACGUCUCGUUGGCCACACCGAAGGUGUAUCCGACUUAGCAUGGUCCUCCGAUUCAUCUUACAUUUGCUCCGCUUCAGAUGACCGCACGCUCCGCAUCUGGGACGCACGCGCCGCCGAGUCCGUCAAAACAUUGCGUGGGCACACGGGUUUUGUUUUCUGUGUGAAUUUCAACCCUCAGUCGAACUUAAUUGUCUCGGGUUCAUUUGAUGAGACAAUUAGGGUUUGGGAUGUGAAAACGGGUAAACCUAAUCACGUUAUUAGGGCACAUUCGAUGCCUGUAACAUCGGUGCAUUUUAAUAGAGAUGGGUCAUUGAUUGUUUCGGGCAGUCAUGAUGGGUCUUGUAAGAUAUGGGAUACUGCUACUGGUGUUUGUCUCAAGACACUUAUUGAUGAUAAAGUUCCUGCUGUUUCCUUUGCUAAGUUUUCCCCUAAUGGAAAGUUUAUCCUUGUUGCCACACUUGAUAAUGUUCUUAAGCUGUGGAACUAUUCUACAGGAAAAUAUAUAAAAAAUUACGCAGGCCAUGUGAACAGAGUGUACUGCAUAACUUCCACGUUUUCUGUCACGAAUGGGAAGUAUAUUGUGAGUGGCUCAGAAGAUCGAUGUGUCUACAUAUGGAAUUUGCAAGGGAAAAAUCUGCUGCAGAAACUUGAAGGACAUACUGAUACCGUCAUUUCGGUUUCUUGCCACCCCACAGAAAACAUGAUUGUCUCAGCUGGACUAGAUAAUGACAGGACAGUGAGGGUUUGGGUCCAAGACUAAUGGAUGUCCUCAACUCUGUAUAGGCAGCCUUUGAAUCCAAAGUGGUUCUUUAUCUGGGUAGAUUGAGUUGAAUGUAAUGGAAAGAGUCAUCCAUUCGGUUGUGCUCUAAUUCUCUGUGUUUUGUCCAAGGACAUUCGCUUGCAUUAGCUACUUCGCAUAACUUGGUUAUUGUGGAUAGGUGUAACAGAUUGUAGCGGGACCUGUCUAUUUAUGAAUAGUGCAGCCAUACUCUUGAAGUUGAUGCCAGAAGAUUUUGCGUUAUCAAGUUACAAAAAAACUGGCUACUGUAUUUUCUUUUUUAUAAUAUGUAAGAAACUAGAUGGCGCCAUUCCUGCAGUGUAUUGAGUAGGAGCAGUUGAUGUAGAGAAGUUAAAAUGUAUGAAUAGAAUAUCUUGCAUCAUUCAUAUAAAGAGCCCUCCAGGGGUCUAACAUUUACAGCAAGGGUAAAAAAUUUAAGUUAGUUAUAAAUUAACAUUGAUCUGUC
Molecule: RNA transcript, 1578 nt
Organism: Lycium barbarum (goji berry)
Lineage: Eukaryota; Viridiplantae; Streptophyta; Magnoliopsida; Solanales; Solanaceae
Gene name: COMPASS-like H3K4 histone methylase component WDR5B
Exons: 4
Source: RefSeq, a predicted model, not a curated record